UACCAGACUCCUACGGGAGGCAGCAGUGGGGAAUAUUGCACAAUGGGGGGAACCCUGAUGCAGCGACGCCGCGUGAGUGAAGAAGUAUUUCGGUAUGUAAAGCUCUAUCAGCAGGGAAGAAAAUGACGGUACCUGACUAAGAAGCCCCGGCUAACUACGUGCCAGCAGCCGCGGUAAUACGUAGGGGGCAAGCGUUAUCCGGAUUUACUGGGUGUAAAGGGAGCGUAGACGGUUAUGCAAGUCUGGAGUGAAAGCCCGGGGCCCAACCCCGGGACUGCUCUGGGAACUGUGCGGCUGGAGUGCGGGAGGGGCAGGCGGAAUUCCUGGUGUAGCGGUGAAAUGCGUAGAUAUCAGGAGGAACACCGGCGGCGAAGGCGGCCUGCUGGACGACAACUGACGGUGAGGCGCGAAAGCGUGGGGAGCAAACAGGAUUAGAUACCCUGGUAC
This 447-nucleotide ribosomal RNA is filed under the name uncultured bacterium. RNAcentral's name for it is "bacterial SSU rRNA". It matches the Rfam family "Bacterial small subunit ribosomal RNA", at positions 329 to 793 of the family's 1533-position model. The record is from RNAcentral.